UGAAAACUAUUAGGGCUGAAACUCUGAAUCCUGGUAAUGAUAUAUGAUAGUUUCUCGAAAUGAAUCUGAACAUCUAGGUUCAUUUCUCGCUAUAUCCAUAUUCAUUUCGAAAAAUAUAUAAAAGUAUUUAUAUUUCAGAACAUAAGGAGCAGUACUAUGAUUAGAUCGGCAAUGGACCUUAUUAGUUCUGACAUACCAUUCAUGCAUGCAUGAUUCAGUAGUGAUAAGCAAACACAUAUACAACAAAGAUUAGAUACUUUAACUAGCAGCCAGGUCACGAUUAGCUAUCAUGCCCCCUCACUAUUCCAACAUAAACAAGGGUCGACUAAAAUGUUUGGUCACUACCCCUGCAAUUAAACACACCUCCAUGUGCAUUCCAUCUGAACAACUGUUCCUAAUUAAGCACACUAAAUUAACCACCUACUCUUAUCUCAAAUUUGGCUGCAGGAAACUGACAUUGAAGAAAGAUGAUUAGGCACUAACAAUGAUCCAGUAAUAACAUUAGCUAGGGAAAGAGGUGCAGCAAACUAGAAAUAUAUAGCUAGUAAUAAGAGUUGUACUACAUGUGUAUGAACAAUAGUUAAUCAGGCAGCACCCACACAAAUGAUUUGUACUUUGUGUUGUCAACGAGCAAAGAAGAGAAGGGGAAAAAAAUACAAACUAGAAACCAAACGCUGAUCGAUCUACCAUCGAAAGAGCCAAACACGAGAAGAAGUCAAGAAGCGAUAAGAAGCGUCGACCUCCCGGAAAAAAAACCGGCGCGCGAGCCGGCCGGUGCUUGCC
RNAcentral lists this long non-coding RNA (783 nucleotides) under Oryza brachyantha (malo sina). RNAcentral's name for it is "long non-coding RNA (OBRA_LNC001477)". The record is from RNAcentral. Lineage: Eukaryota; Viridiplantae; Streptophyta; Magnoliopsida; Poales; Poaceae.